RNAcentral lists this unclassified non-coding RNA (304 nucleotides) under Hevea brasiliensis (rubber tree). The record is from RNAcentral. Lineage: Eukaryota; Viridiplantae; Streptophyta; Magnoliopsida; Malpighiales; Euphorbiaceae.
GGGGACUAUGGUUUGCUGACUUAACAUACCGUUCAUGGGGGUUAUGGGACAGCUUGUGGAGACCUCCUGAAAUGCUUUCAUCUUGUAAUAGUCUUUCUGAUCGAAGAAAACCAGAUUCACUAGGACCUGCAAAUCGGGAGGAACAUGUAAUUCUUCCAGGUUCUAAGCCACUAGGAGAGCCAGGUGGCUUUGAUAAUCGCCUCAUUGCAGCCAUUUCAGCUGCCUGAGAUAUGCAUAGACCCCGAAAUGCCUGCUUUAGAGAAACUGGAUCAGAAAACCCUGUUACCGGAGAGUUUGAUCCACC